Molecule: ribosomal RNA, 2889 nt
Filed under: human gut metagenome
Description: bacterial LSU rRNA
Rfam family: Bacterial large subunit ribosomal RNA
Source: RNAcentral
AGCGUACACGGUGGAUGCCCUGGCAGUCAGAGGCGAUGAAGGACGUGCUAAUCUGCGAUAAGCGUCGGUGAGGUGAUAUGAACCGUUAUAACCGGCGAUUUCCGAAUGGGGAAACCCAGUGUGUUUCGACACACUAUCAUUAACUGAAUCCAUAGGUUAAUGAGGCGAACCGGGGGAACUGAAACAUCUAAGUACCCCGAGGAAAAGAAAUCAACCGAGAUUCCCCCAGUAGCGGCGAGCGAACGGGGAGGAGCCCAGAGCCUGAAUCAGUGUGUGUGUUAGUGGAAGCGUCUGGAAAGGCGUGCGAUACAGGGUGACAGCCCCGUACACAAAAAUGCACAUAUUGUGAGCUCGAUGAGUAGGGCGGGACACGUGGUAUCCUGUCUGAAUAUGGGGGGACCAUCCUCCAAGGCUAAAUACUCCUGACUGACCGAUAGUGAACCAGUACCGUGAGGGAAAGGCGAAAAGAACCCCGGCGAGGGGAGUGAAAAAGAACCUGAAACCGUGUACGUACAAGCAGUGGGAGCCUCUUAAUGGGGUGACUGCGUACCUUUUGUAUAAUGGGUCAGCGACUUAUAUUCUGUAGCAAGGUUAACCGAAUAGGGGAGCCGAAGGGAAACCGAGUCUUAACUGGGCGUUAAGUUGCAGGGUAUAGACCCGAAACCCGGUGAUCUAGCCAUGGGCAGGUUGAAGGUUGGGUAACACUAACUGGAGGACCGAACCGACUAAUGUUGAAAAAUUAGCGGAUGACUUGUGGCUGGGGGUGAAAGGCCAAUCAAACCGGGAGAUAGCUGGUUCUCCCCGAAAGCUAUUUAGGUAGCGCCUCGUGAAUUCAUCUCCGGGGGUAGAGCACUGUUUCGGCAAGGGGGUCAUCCCGACUUACCAACCCGAUGCAAACUGCGAAUACCGGAGAAUGUUAUCACGGGAGACACACGGCGGGUGCUAACGUCCGUCGUGAAGAGGGAAACAACCCAGACCGCCAGCUAAGGUCCCAAAGUCAUGGUUAAGUGGGAAACGAUGUGGGAAGGCCCAGACAGCCAGGAUGUUGGCUUAGAAGCAGCCAUCAUUUAAAGAAAGCGUAAUAGCUCACUGGUCGAGUCGGCCUGCGCGGAAGAUGUAACGGGGCUAAACCAUGCACCGAAGCUGCGGCAGCGACACUAUGUGUUGUUGGGUAGGGGAGCGUUCUGUAAGCCUGUGAAGGUGGCCUGUGAGGGUUGCUGGAGGUAUCAGAAGUGCGAAUGCUGACAUAAGUAACGAUAAAGCGGGUGAAAAGCCCGCUCGCCGGAAGACCAAGGGUUCCUGUCCAACGUUAAUCGGGGCAGGGUGAGUCGACCCCUAAGGCGAGGCCGAAAGGCGUAGUCGAUGGGAAACAGGUUAAUAUUCCUGUACUUGGUGUUACUGCGAAGGGGGGACGGAGAAGGCUAUGUUGGCCGGGCGACGGUUGUCCCGGUUUAAGCGUGUAGGCUGGUUUUCCAGGCAAAUCCGGAAAACCAAGGCUGAGGCGUGAUGACGAGGCACUACGGUGCUGAAGCGACAAAUGCCCUGCUUCCAGGAAAAGCCUCUAAGCAUCAGGUAACAUCAAAUCGUACCCCAAACCGACACAGGUGGUCAGGUAGAGAAUACCAAGGCGCUUGAGAGAACUCGGGUGAAGGAACUAGGCAAAAUGGUGCCGUAACUUCGGGAGAAGGCACGCUGAUAUGUAGGUGAAGCGACUUGCUCGUGGAGCUGAAAUCAGUCGAAGAUACCAGCUGGCUGCAACUGUUUAUUAAAAACACAGCACUGUGCAAACACGAAAGUGGACGUAUACGGUGUGACGCCUGCCCGGUGCCGGAAGGUUAAUUGAUGGGGUUAGCGGCAACGCGAAGCUCUUGAUCGAAGCCCCGGUAAACGGCGGCCGUAACUAUAACGGUCCUAAGGUAGCGAAAUUCCUUGUCGGGUAAGUUCCGACCUGCACGAAUGGCGUAAUGAUGGCCAGGCUGUCUCCACCCGAGACUCAGUGAAAUUGAACUCGCUGUGAAGAUGCAGUGUACCCGCGGCAAGACGGAAAGACCCCGUGAACCUUUACUAUAGCUUGACACUGAACAUUGAGCCUUGAUGUGUAGGAUAGGUGGGAGGCUUUGAAGUGUGGACGCCAGUCUGCAUGGAGCCGACCUUGAAAUACCACCCUUUAAUGUUUGAUGUUCUAACGUUGGCCCGUAAUCCGGGUUGCGGACAGUGUCUGGUGGGUAGUUUGACUGGGGCGGUCUCCUCCUAAAGAGUAACGGAGGAGCACGAAGGUUGGCUAAUCCUGGUCGGACAUCAGGAGGUUAGUGCAAUGGCAUAAGCCAGCUUGACUGCGAGCGUGACGGCGCGAGCAGGUGCGAAAGCAGGUCAUAGUGAUCCGGUGGUUCUGAAUGGAAGGGCCAUCGCUCAACGGAUAAAAGGUACUCCGGGGAUAACAGGCUGAUACCGCCCAAGAGUUCAUAUCGACGGCGGUGUUUGGCACCUCGAUGUCGGCUCAUCACAUCCUGGGGCUGAAGUAGGUCCCAAGGGUAUGGCUGUUCGCCAUUUAAAGUGGUACGCGAGCUGGGUUUAGAACGUCGUGAGACAGUUCGGUCCCUAUCUGCCGUGGGCGCUGGAGAACUGAGGGGGGCUGCUCCUAGUACGAGAGGACCGGAGUGGACGCAUCACUGGUGUUCGGGUUGUCAUGCCAAUGGCACUGCCCGGUAGCUAAAUGCGGAAGAGAUAAGUGCUGAAAGCAUCUAAGCACGAAACUUGCCCCGAGAUGAGUUCUCCCUGACUCCUUGAGAGUCCUGAAGGAACGUUGAAGACGACGACGUUGAUAGGCCGGGUGUGUAAGCGCAGCGAUGCGUUGAGCUAACCGGUACUAAUGAACCGUGAGGCUUAACC